Small nucleolar RNA from Aureobasidium subglaciale EXF-2481, 86 nucleotides. The record is from Rfam. NCBI's taxonomy places the organism in Eukaryota, Fungi, Ascomycota, Dothideomycetes, Dothideales, Saccotheciaceae.
AUAUGAUGAACACCUAGAUGACGAGUCUUAUCGGAGUUAUCCAUGCAGACAACCUUUUAUUUUAUACCAUUCAUGCCUAACUGAAU